Heterocephalus glaber (naked mole-rat) is the source of this 1800-nucleotide long non-coding RNA. NCBI's taxonomy places the organism in Eukaryota, Metazoa, Chordata, Mammalia, Rodentia, Bathyergidae. The record is from Ensembl.
CGUGGUUAUAGGGCUGAGAGUAUCCACUGGCCAGACCUUAGUGGUUCACAGGGCAACUUUAUGCUCCUGGGGAGGGUUCUGACUCAGACAUAGCUUGACUGAGCCCAGGCUUUUGAGCCCUGAAAAUGCCAGGCUGGCGAUAUUCAGCACAAUCCUCCCUGGAGAUGCUGGGCAGUGGCAGUGACUUGCAGCUCCCAGCCAGUCAUGUUUACUCAGCCACAAUUCCAUGGUAAGGUGAAGAAUAUCCACAGUGAUGAAUGACCGAAAGAUGAAUGAGAUGCUAAAAGAAGUACCCACCCACUAUGGCACUGGAGGGAAGGUCCCAAUCUCAACUAUCAAGACACCUUGUGCCUAGGAUUGGAAGCAGACACAUAGAAAUCCACCAAACCCCAUCUAGAUUCUGAGCCCCACCCUUUCUGGAUGGUUUCCAAGGAUUUUGACUCAAGAAUUUUGAAUCAAAACUUCUAUCUUUGCUUAAUAAGCUUAGUAGGUUUUCCCAACUUCAGCUACACAAGAAAAUUUAAAUUUAUGUAUCAGUGACUGGGCCUCACCUAAAUCAAGGGAAUCAGCAUCUCUUAGUAAGGCUAUAGGCCUAGACAAGGAUAAACCUCUGGGUGAUUUUUCUGUGCAUACAGCAUUGAAACCAUACUUCACUGGUCAAUUAUCAACUUUUACAGCUUUAAACAAAUGUAAGGGAAGAUAUACUUAUUACAGAACUGACUGCAUGAUUAAGAGGAUAAAUAGGAUUUAGAAAAUAAAGAAGCAGUCACCAAAGACAAAACAUCAGUAAGGGUGAAAGCAGUAGUCACCAAUGAAAUUGCGGUGCCAGGUAUUGUCUAUUGGUGCUGGCACCAAUUUCCAAGCUCUCCUAUUGUCUUCCUUGUCUGAAGAGAAGGAAGAUUAAAACUCUAUGUCCCAGUCUUCUUUGUAGAUACAGUCCCAGUAGUGUUUUAGAUUCAGUUAACAUGAUCCACUCCUGCUACAUUUGGAAGAUGGAAGGAUUUCUGCAGGUACAGGGAGAGGAGGCACCAGCAGAGCUGCAUCAUGAGCACAGUGACCUUGUAAUCUAUAAAUGGACAUGGUGAAGAUGCAAAAUGGAAUGAGUCUGGGGUCCUGAAUCACUGCUUGGAAUAGAGGCAUCUUGGAAGAGGUUUCUCCCAUCACAGUGGCACCAAACAAAAUGACAACUGGAUAUAAAGGGGAGACAAAAGGUGUUGGGAAUGAGUGAGAUGUUAAAAGAAACAAGGACACAGUGUUAAAUCAGUGGACCCUGAUCAGUUUAGGGAGAAAAAACUUGCUGUUGGGAUAAGCCACCAAGAGAAUCACCUUUAUCUAACAGCACUUAGCAGAAUAACAGUUAAAAGAAGUUGUUUCUGUUCUUACACUGAACCGUAACUGAAAUAGUCACCAAAGUAAGAAUAAAUCACCAGUAAAAUUGAUGCAGAAAGCAUUAUUAGGGACUGAGAAUAUAGCAUGUGCAAAGUCUUGUGUUCAAUUCCUAUUACCACAAAAAAAAAUUUUUGUCACAAGUGAAAAAGAACACAUGAGUUGGCAGAAUCCAACUUUAAAAAAAAAGAGAGAUUUAGUAUCUAUGUGGGACAACAAAUGUGUUAAUUAGCUCAGUAGUGUCAAUCAUUUCACAAUGGAUAUGUAAUAAAAGUUUUGCACUUUGAAGACAUACAUUUUUUACUUGUUGUUUUCAAAAACACUGAAGAAAAAAGAUAUUUGAGAGACCCUGCAUCAUAAUAAAUUCUCUGGGCAAAGGUACAGGAACGAAAUUCUUUUGGUGGCAGAUAAACU